This 466-nucleotide ribosomal RNA is filed under the name uncultured bacterium. Its description in RNAcentral is "partial 16S ribosomal RNA". It matches the Rfam family "Bacterial small subunit ribosomal RNA", at positions 28 to 507 of the family's 1533-position model. The record is from RNAcentral.
GAUGAACGCUGGCGGCGUGCUUAACACAUGCAAGUCGAACGAUGAAGCCCAGCUUGCUGGGUGGAUUAGUGGCGAACGGGUGAGUAACACGUGAGUAACCUGCCCUUAACUCUGGGAUAAGCCUGGGAAACUGGGUCUAAUACCGGAUAGGAGCGUCCACCGCAUGGUGGGUGUUGGAAAGAUUUAUCGGUUUUGGAUGGACUCGCGGCCUAUCAGCUUGUUGGUGAGGUAAUGGCUCACCAAGGCGACGACGGGUAGCCGGCCUGAGAGGGUGACCGGCAACACUGGGACUGAGACAGGCCCCAGCCCCCACGGGGGGGCAGCAGGGGGGAAUAUUGCACAUGGGGCGAAGGCCGGAGGCAGCGCCGCCGGGGGGGGGAGGACGGCCUGCGGUUUGUAAACCUCUUUCAGUGGGGAAGAAGCGAAGGUGACGGUACCUGAAGAAGAAGCACCGGCAAACUACGUG